UGCGGAAUUUUAGAUAAUGGAGGGAACUCUGAUCUAGCGACGCCGCGUGCAGGAAGAAGGUCUUCGGAUUGUAAACUGCUGUGGUAAGGGAAAAAUGCUAUGUAGAGUGGAAAGCUACAUAGAGGGAUGGUACCUUACUAGAAAGCCCCGGCUAACUACGUGCCAGCAGCCGCGGUAAUACGUAGGGGGCGAGCGUUACCCGGAAUCACUGGGCGUAAAGGGAGCGUAGGUGGCCUAACAUGUCAACUGUGAAAACCCGGAGCUCAACUCCGGACUUGCAGUUGAAACUGGUAGGCUUGAGGACGGUAGAGGAAGACGGAACUGCCAGUGUAGGGGUAAAAUCCUUAGAUAUUGGCAGGAACGCCGGUGACGAAGGUGGUUUUCUGGGCCGGUUCUGACACU
Molecule: ribosomal RNA, 402 nt
Filed under: uncultured bacterium
Lineage: Bacteria
Description: bacterial SSU rRNA
Rfam family: Bacterial small subunit ribosomal RNA
Source: RNAcentral